Molecule: ribosomal RNA, 492 nt
Filed under: uncultured bacterium
Lineage: Bacteria
Description: partial 16S ribosomal RNA
Rfam family: Bacterial small subunit ribosomal RNA
Source: RNAcentral
AGUGAACGCUGGCGGUAGGCCUAACACAUGCAAGUCGAACGGCAGCACAGUAAGAGCUUGCUCUUACGGGUGGCGAGUGGCGGACGGGUGAGGAAUACAUCGGAAUCUACUUUUUCGUGGGGGAUAACGUAGGGAAACUUACGCUAAUACCGCAUACGACCUACGGGUGAAAGCAGGGGAUCUUCGGACCUUGCGCGAUUGAAUGAGCCGAUGUCGGAUUAGCUAGUUGGCGGGGUAAAGGCCCACCAAGGCGACGAUCCGUAGCUGGUCUGAGAGGAUGAUCAGCCACACUGGAGCUGAGACACGGUCCAGACUCCUACGGGAGGCAGCAGUGGGGAAUAUUGGACAAUGGGCGCAAGCCUGAUCCAGCUAUACCGCGUGGGUGAAGAAGGCCUUCGGGUUGUAAAGCCCUUUUGUUGGGAAAGAAAAGCAGCAGGUUAAUACCCCGCUGUUCUGACGGUACCCAAAGAAUAAGCACCGGCUAACUUCGUG